AUGGCCCCUCCACACUUGGGGGUUGACAUUCACAUGCGUAAAUGGCUGAGCUGGGUUUUUCCUCGUUGCUAUUUUUAAAGGUGUCCAGUGUGAAGUGCAGCUGGUGGAGUCUGGGGGAGGCUUGGCAAAGACUGGGGGGUCCCUGAGACUCUCCUGUGCGGCCUCUGGAUUCACCUUCAGUAGCUACUACAUGGAGUGGGUCCGCCAGGCUCCGGGGAAGGGGCUGGAGUGGGUUGGAGUAAUUAAUCCUAAUGGUGGUAGCACAUACUAUGCAGACUCCGUGAAGGGUCGAUUCACCAACUCCAGAGACAACGCCAAGAACUCGCUGUAUCUGCAGAUGAGCAGCCUGAGAGCCGAGGACACGGCCGUGUAUUACUGUGCGAGAGAUAUAGUGAGGGGAGGCCCGUGUAGGCCCGGACACAAACCUCCUGCAGGGGCGCGCGGGGCCGCCAUGGGGCGCUCGGCACCCACCGAGGACG
Molecule: non-coding RNA, 479 nt
Organism: Saimiri boliviensis boliviensis (Bolivian squirrel monkey)
Lineage: Eukaryota; Metazoa; Chordata; Mammalia; Primates; Cebidae
Source: RefSeq, a predicted model, not a curated record